RNAcentral lists this transfer RNA (86 nucleotides) under Orobanche crenata. RNAcentral's name for it is "tRNA-Ser". It matches the Rfam family "tRNA". From Rfam's summary of the family: Transfer RNA (tRNA) molecules are approximately 80 nucleotides in length. The record is from RNAcentral. Lineage: Eukaryota; Viridiplantae; Streptophyta; Magnoliopsida; Lamiales; Orobanchaceae. RNAcentral also lists the same sequence under 2 other names.
GGAGAGAUGGCUGAGAGGUUUAAAGCCCCGGUCUUGAAAACCGGUAUAGUAAAGAACUAUCGAGGGUUCGAAUCCCUCUCUCUCCU